UUACGGGUCGCAGCAGGCGCGAAAACUUUACAAUGCGGGGAACCGUGAUAAGGGGACACCGAGUGCCAGCAUCAUAUGCUGGCUGUCCGGAUGUGUAAAAUGCAUCCGUUAGCAAGGGCCGGGCAAGACCGGUGCCAGCCGCCGCGGUAACGCCGGCGGCCCGAGUGGUGAUCGUGAUUAUUGGGUCUAAAGGGUCCGUAGCCGGUUUGGUCAGUCCUCCGGGAAAUCUGAUAGCUCAACUAUUAGGCUUUCGGGGGAUACUGCCAGACUUGGAACCGGGAGAGGUAAGAGGUACUACAGGGGUAGGAGUGAAAUCUUGUAAUCCCUGUGGGACCACCUGUGGCGAAGGCGUCUUACCAGAACGGGUUCGACGGUGAGGGACGAAAGCUGGGGGCACGAACCGGAUUAGAUACCAGGGUAGUCCCAGCCGUAAACGAUGCUCGCUAGGUGUCAGGCAUGGCGCGACCGUGUCUGGUGCCGCAGGGAAGCCGUGAAGCGAGCCACCUGGGAAGUACGGCCGCAAGGCUGAAACUUAAAGGAAUUGGCGGGGGAGCACAA
RNAcentral lists this ribosomal RNA (558 nucleotides) under uncultured archaeon. RNAcentral describes it as "bacterial SSU rRNA". It matches the Rfam family "Archaeal small subunit ribosomal RNA", at positions 323 to 881 of the family's 1478-position model. The record is from RNAcentral.